UGGGGAAUAUUGCACAAUGGGCGCAAGCCUGAUGCAGCCAUGCCGCGUGUAUGAAGAAGGCCUUCGGGUUGUAAAGUACUUUCAGCGGGGAGGAAGGGAGUAAAGUUAAUACCUUUACCCAUUGACGUUACCCACCGAAGAAGCACCGGCUAACUCCGUUCCAGCAGCCGCGGUAAUACGGAGGGUGCAAGCGUUAAUCGGAAUUACUGGGCGUAAAGCGCACGCAGGCGGUUUGUUGAGUCAGAUGUGAAAUCCCCGGGCUCAACCUGGGAACUGCAUCUGAUACUGGUAAGCUUGAGUCUCGUAGAGGGGGGUAGAAUUCCAGGUGUAGCGGUGAAAUGCGUAGAGAUCUGGAGGAAUACCGGUGGCGAAGGCGGCCCCCUGGACAAAGACUGACGCUCAGGUGCGAAAGCGUGGGGAGCAAACAGG
This 429-nucleotide ribosomal RNA is filed under the name Chloroflexota bacterium. Its description in RNAcentral is "Chloroflexi bacterium partial 16S ribosomal RNA". It matches the Rfam family "Bacterial small subunit ribosomal RNA", at positions 355 to 776 of the family's 1533-position model. Lineage: Bacteria; Bacillati; Chloroflexota. The record is from RNAcentral.